Long non-coding RNA from Chelmon rostratus (copperband butterflyfish), 1330 nucleotides. RefSeq lists it as uncharacterized. The record is from RefSeq and is a predicted model, not a curated record. NCBI's taxonomy places the organism in Eukaryota, Metazoa, Chordata, Actinopteri, Chaetodontiformes, Chaetodontidae. The transcript is spliced from 3 exons.
CAGAAAGCUCGCAUUACAGGCCGGGUGUGGACAGAUGUGGGCCUAACUAAAGAAGCUAUGGAGUUGCAGUAUGGGAAAUCGCCUGGACGUGCUAAAUUGCUGGAGUGGCCUGUCAAUCAUUCAAUAAGAAAGGCAGCUUUUACUCUUGUGGGUGACUUCAACCACUCCAGCCUGAACUCUGUACUCCCCAAAUUCCUCCUACAUGUCUCCUGGUGAGACCUAGGACAGCCUGACCACCUCUCAACUGUCCCUGCUCCUGAAGUACACACCACUUAUCAAACAUACCCCCCAAUGACUGAAGAUUCUUCCAAAACAACAUAGCAUGGUAGCAUAACUCAACUUGGCUGCAUGCCAUCUUAUUGUCAGAGAUGUGUGAGUCACAUCCUAAUCUGUAUGUCUGAAUGAAUUAUGAAGAUUUAUUGAAGAGGUAGGCAUGGUUUAGGCAGGCUGAAGGUAGCAGGGUCAUGACUAAGCUCAUCUCUCACUCAUUAGCAUCCAGGCAUUUCACCUUGGGAGAAGAGAUUUUGGACAUGCCACGAAGAAGAUGCUGAAGGCAAGACAUUUCGGAGACAGAAGAUAGCGAGAGCACAGAUUGUCUCAUACAACAUUCACAUUGGUAACUUUGUUCUCCUCUUGCCUGUUUGUAAUGAUGAAUUGUGUGCUGUUUUCAAAUGCUUUCAGCCAAGCAAGAUUUCUCUCAGUACUGAUAAAUGUAACUUCAUGAUCUUUUAGAACAAAAACAAAGAGUGGAGUUAGGAGUUACUGUAGAUGAAAGGUUAAAUCAGAAAAACCGUAGCAAUGUUGUUUUGUGUGUACAGAUAUUGUUUAUGCUAUGUGUUCUUUGUUUGUUUAGAUGAAUAAUAAUGCUAGUUUUUUCUGUAAUGCAAUUUCUUAAUUUCUGUUGAAUGUAUUUUGUAUUUUCACAAAGGUGCAACUAAACUAAACUACUACCUUGUAUUAUCUUCCUUUAUAUGCCUUCCAAGUAUUGGUUGAACUAAAAAUGGCAGUUUGAGCUUUGAGGUUUUUUUUGAAAAUGCUGUGCACAGUUAGUUAAGGUAGAACCUAAAGAAUGAAACUGAUGAAGUGGCAUUAGAUGCCCCUGACGAUGCGAAGACAAGUAUGAUGGUCAGUUGCACCGGAAUGGUGAAUUUAUUAUAGCUAUUAAACAACUUACUUAUUGAUAUGAUUUCUUUCAUGUUUUGUUUAUUUGUUUGUUUGAUAUUGGACUUUUUAGGCCUAGAUACUCAAGACAUAAUUUUAGUUAAAUGAUUUAACAUAGUGAUGCACAAUUACAAUGUAUGCAUGGCUGUAACUGCUUUGCUGAUUGACU